AAAUUACCAAGGAGCAGGUAUCAGGCACAACCCGUUAGCCCAAAACACCUUGCUAUGCCACACCCACACGGGCACCCAGCAGUGAUAAAUAUUAAGCAAUGAGUGAAAACCAACUAAAGCUCGACUUAGUUAUGAUUAUUAGAGCCGGUAAACCUCGUGCCAGCCACCGCGGUUAUACGAGGGGCCCAAAACAACGGAGAUCGGCGUAAAUUGUGACUAGAGUACCUACUUAUAUCAUUGGAAAAUAAACAAAAACUCAACCGUAAAACCCGAGUCAAAAGAAACAUACUUUUCCAACCACAAAGAAACUUGAACCCACGAAGACUAAGAAACAAACUAGGAUUAGAUACCCUACUAUGCUUAGUUAUUAACACGAUACCAAAAAACACCGGUAUCCGCCAGAAGAUUACACGCGAAAAGCUUAAAACUCAAAGGACUUGGCGGUGCUCCGUAUUCGCCUUAGAGGAGCCUGUCCUAUAAUCGAUAACCCACGUUUUACCUUACCAUCUUUUGUCAAUACAGCCUAUAUACCGCCGUCGCAAACUUACCCCAUGAGGGUGCAACAGUAAGUAAAAUAGUAAUACACUAACACGUCAGGUCAAGGUGUAGCUAAUAAGAUGGAAGAGAUGGGCUACAUUUUCUAAAACAGAACACACGGCAAAGAGCACUGAAAUAUGCUCUAAAAGGUGGAUUUAAUAGUAAGAUAGAAAAGAAAACCUAUCUAAAAC
Molecule: ribosomal RNA, 728 nt
Filed under: Liolaemus koslowskyi
Lineage: Eukaryota; Metazoa; Chordata; Lepidosauria; Squamata
Description: partial 12S ribosomal RNA
Rfam family: Bacterial small subunit ribosomal RNA
Source: RNAcentral